RNAcentral lists this long non-coding RNA (363 nucleotides) under Chinchilla lanigera (long-tailed chinchilla). Its description in RNAcentral is "lncRNA (ENSCLAG00000023441.1)". Lineage: Eukaryota; Metazoa; Chordata; Mammalia; Rodentia; Chinchillidae. The record is from RNAcentral.
AUCCAGGUGAUGGGUGUCUGAAAAGCAGAUCCUUGAUUUUCCCAGGAGGCCCUGCCUGCGUGGGGCAUUCCAUGGGCGAGAAACUACCUGUCCCUCAUCUGGAACACUGAAGGACAAACUUGCACAAACACAGGUGGUGAGCGCGUCUCAGCAGGCAGGCUGGACUUCUUCCCUCCUGGGAGGCUCCGGUGCAGGCGGUCCCCAGGCUGCAGUCACAGCUCCAGACCCCUUGGUCCUGCUGACGCCCUGUGACAAGUGACAGCUCAGGACUUAGCACCACAUGGCUUCCUGUCACCUCCUCAAAUCAACUCCAGUGGAGAUCCCAUCUCCCCCAGGAGGCUGGAGCACAAAAGGUGGGAAGCC